GCUCGCAACCCAUUCCAGUAUCCAAGAAGGCUGCCAGGUGACACUUUCUUUGGAGCCAGACAGAGACCCCCCCUGGGUGGGCUUCCAGCACAAGUCCCAAUAAAGCCUGAAUUUCUCAUCUGGCCUCAAUUCUUAUGGAUUAAAGGGUCCAAGAACCCACAUCGGUAAUACUUGCUUUGUACUGAGAAAUGGUUUCCUGUCAGCUUGGAUGUAUGAAAACUCCCAGGCAGCCAGCAAAAUAAAGAAGGCACCCCUUCACAUCCCAGGGGUCACCUCCUGCCCAGUGCCCAGGGUCAAAGCCCUCGCUGACGGGCACAGCUGGCCAGGGUGGCUCCCAGAGGACACUUUCUCGUCUUCACCUCGGGGCCUGGUGAACUUGGUGACUCGGGGUCAGAACUGCCCUGGAGGAUGUCUGCUGCCCCACGAGCAGGGAGGAACUGUGUGAACAGACCUGACUGGCUGUUCCUGAGACUGAACAGCUGCUCCCUAGGAGCCAGGGGAGGCCGGGCAGUGGUCUGUGUCUUCCGGGGCAGCAGCCCCAGGGGCCACGUCUACAGGCUGUAUCACGGUC
Molecule: long non-coding RNA, 571 nt
Organism: Bos taurus (domestic cattle)
Lineage: Eukaryota; Metazoa; Chordata; Mammalia; Artiodactyla; Bovidae
Source: Ensembl